UAGGGAAUUUUCGUCAAUGGGCGCAAGCCUGAACGAGCAAUGCCGCGUGAACGAGGAAGGUCUUCGGAUCGUAAAGUUCUGUUGAAGGGGAAAAAGAGCGGAGAGAGGAAAUGGUCUCCGAUUGAUAUUACCCUUCGAGGAAGUCACGGCUAACUACGUGCCAGCAGCCGCGGUAAUACGUAGGUGGCGAGCGUUAUCCGGAAUGAUUGGGCGUAAAGGGUGCGUAGGCGGCCUGCUAAGUCUGGAGUGAAAGGUACCGGCUCAACCGGUACAGGCUCUGGAAACUGGCGGGCUAGAGAGCAGGAGAGGGCGGUGGAACUCCAUGUGUAGCGGUAAAAUGCGUAGAUAUAUGGAAGAACACCAGUGGCGAAGGCGGCCGCCUGGCCUGUUACUGACGCUGAGGCACGAAAGCGUGGGGAGCAAAUA
This 426-nucleotide ribosomal RNA is filed under the name uncultured Allobaculum sp. RNAcentral describes it as "bacterial SSU rRNA". It matches the Rfam family "Bacterial small subunit ribosomal RNA", at positions 355 to 774 of the family's 1533-position model. Lineage: Bacteria; Bacillati; Bacillota; Erysipelotrichia; Erysipelotrichales; Erysipelotrichaceae. The record is from RNAcentral.